AGGCCACUUCCCAGGUCGACGACCACUCCGGGGCACCUCAGGAAGCGAACCAGAGACUAUCCCCUCCGCCAGCAUCCUAGAAGGCCAAGAAAGAGCCGAGCUGAGCGCCUCCUUAAAGCUGCGCGGACUGCUCUCAAUCCCUCCCCCUGGAGCUCCGACCGGUAGUCCCCUGCAUCAGUCUUGCCCAGCUCCUCCUUUCCUCCUCAGUCUUCGGGAGACCCACCCUGGCCACCCUACAGAGGAGGUGCCCUUACCUGUGCCCGGGUAGGGUGAGGGGUUACAGGCCUGUCCUGUGUGAAUCAAUGUCUUCAGUUGCCCUGAAGUAGAACGUAUCUUGUUGACCUUGAACUUCAGCAUUGAAGGACCCCUCUCCUGAGCUCUCAGCUGACCCUCAGCAUCACCUCUGGAGAAGCCUAGUAGGAUGUGAGCAUCGUGAACUCUUCCUUCCAUUGCUCACAGAUGUGGCUGCUGCUUGCAUACCCAGAACCAUCCUUAACAUGUAGGAGGCAUUGGACGUCACUGAUUAAGGAGUAGCAUAGGUAAGCCAGGCUUAUUCACAGGAGUGACUCAUGCCCUGGGACACAAGGUCUUGUCUAGUGUCACAACCCCUUCAGGCAACUGGAUCCUUGUCUUUGGGUAUAAAUGCUUCAGGAGAAACAACAAUGAUAACCAACUGCAGACUUGACAGAAUAAUGACGGCAUACGGAUCGGGGAAGUGGCUCAGUUGGAUGGUUCUUGACAAGCAAGCAUGAGAAGCUGAGUUUGGAUCCCAACACCCACAGAAAAACUAGGCGCCACAGCAUACAUGUAUAACCCCUGCACUGGGGCAAGGGGUGAAGCACAGGGAAAGAAGGGUCCCUGGAAUGCAUUGGCCAUGCAGGCAGGCCAAGCUGGUAAGAUUCAGGAGUAGUGAGCCUAUUGGUUACUUCUCUGUUUCUGUGACCAAAACACCAUAACUCAAAGAAGGAAGAGUUUAUUUAGGGGCUACUGUCCCAGAGGAGGAGAAAUGGUAUCAGAAGACCAAAACAGGAAGCUAAGAAAUCACAUCUUCAACUCUAAACACAAAGUAGAAAGCAAAAGUGUAUAGAUGAAGCUAUGAACCCUCAAAACUGUCCCCAUUGACAUAUUUCUUCCAACAAGGCUGUUCUACCCCACUAACCAUCACUACAACCAAGUAUUC
Molecule: long non-coding RNA, 1180 nt
Filed under: Mus pahari (shrew mouse)
Lineage: Eukaryota; Metazoa; Chordata; Mammalia; Rodentia; Muridae
Description: lncRNA (MGP_PahariEiJ_G0006462.1)
Source: RNAcentral